Molecule: ribosomal RNA, 484 nt
Filed under: uncultured bacterium
Lineage: Bacteria
Description: partial 16S ribosomal RNA
Rfam family: Bacterial small subunit ribosomal RNA
Source: RNAcentral
AUUGAACGCUGGCGGCAGGCCUAACACAUGCAAGUCGAGCGGAUGAAGGGAGCUUGCUCCUGGAUUCAGCGGCGGACGGGUGAGUAAUGCCUAGGAAUCUGCCUGUUAGUGGGGGAUAACGUCCGGAAACGGGCGCUAAUACCGCAUACGUCCUGAGGGAGAAAGGGGGGGAUCUUCGGACCUCACGCUAUCAGAUGAGCCUAGGUCGGAUUAGCUAGUUGGUGGGGUAAAGGCCUACCAAGGCGACGAUCCGUAACUGGUCUGAGAGGAUGAUCAGUCACACUGGAACUGAGACACGGUCCAGACUCCUACGGGAGGCAGCAGUGGGGAAUAUUGGACAAUGGGCGAAAGCCUGAUCCAGCCAUGCCGCGUGUGUGAAGAAGGUCUUCGGAUUGUAAAGCACUUUAAGUUGGGAGGAAGGGCAGUAAGUUAAUACCUUGCUGUUUUGACGUUACCAACAGAAUAAGCACCGGCUAACUUCGUG